RNAcentral lists this microRNA precursor (204 nucleotides) under Oryza rufipogon (brownbeard rice). RNAcentral describes it as "MIR812 microRNA precursor family". It matches the Rfam family "MIR812 microRNA precursor family". Lineage: Eukaryota; Viridiplantae; Streptophyta; Magnoliopsida; Poales; Poaceae. The record is from Rfam by way of RNAcentral.
AAAAAGGCAAACCGUGGGUUCCCGUACCAACGUUUGACUGUCCAUCUUAUAUAAAAAUUUUUUAUAAUUAGUAUUUUCAUUGUUGUUAGAUGAUAAAACAUGAUUAAUACUUUGUGCGUGACUUAUCUUUUUAAUUUUUUCAUAUUUUUUUCAAAUAAGACGAACGGUCAAACGUUGGACACGGAAACCAGGGUUUGUCUUUUU